RNAcentral lists this ribosomal RNA (253 nucleotides) under uncultured bacterium. Its description in RNAcentral is "partial 16S ribosomal RNA". It matches the Rfam family "Bacterial small subunit ribosomal RNA", at positions 524 to 776 of the family's 1533-position model. RNAcentral also lists the same sequence under 1 other name. The record is from RNAcentral.
UACGUAGGGUGCGAGCGUUGUCCGGAAUUAUUGGGCGUAAAGAGCUUGUAGGCGGUUUGUCGCGUCUGCCGUGAAAAUCCGAGGCUCAACCUCGGACUUGCGGUGGGUACGGGCAGACUAGAGUGUGGUAGGGGAGACUGGAAUUCCUGGUGUAGCGGUGAAAUGCGCAGAUAUCAGGAGGAACACCGAUGGCGAAGGCAGGUCUCUGGGCCACUACUGACGCUGAGAAGCGAAAGCAUGGGGAGCGAACAGG